RNAcentral lists this small RNA (186 nucleotides) under Pan troglodytes (chimpanzee). RNAcentral describes it as "processed transcript". Lineage: Eukaryota; Metazoa; Chordata; Mammalia; Primates; Hominidae. The record is from RNAcentral.
AGGACGCUGGUGUGGUCCUGUGGAUGGGGCCCAUUCUGCCUGUGUCGGAGGCGCCCUUGGCUGGCUGGGGCUGCCCUGGGCCCCACAGGGCUCAAGUUCUGGGUGGAACAGAACCGACUGAAUAAACCCACUGCCCUACAGCCGCGUGGUGCACACCUACCGCCUCCCCAGCUGUGGCUGCCACCC